GUGGGGAAUCUUGCGCAAUGGGCGAAAGCCUGACGCAGCCAUGCCGCGUGAAUGAUGAAGGUCUUAGGAUUGUAAAAUUCUUUCACCGGGGACGAUAAUGACGGUACCCGGAGAAGAAGCCCCGGCUAACUUCGUGCCAGCAGCCGCGGUAAUACGAAGGGGGCUAGCGUUGCUCGGAAUUACUGGGCGUAAAGGGAGCGUAGGCGGAUAGUUUAGUCAGAGGUGAAAGCCCAGGGCUCAACCUUGGAAUUGCCUUUGAUACUGGCUAGCUUGAGUAUGGAAGAGGUAUGUGGAACUCCGAGUGUAGAGGUGAAAUUCGUAGAUAUUCGGAAGAACACCAGUGGCGAAGGCGACAUACUGGUCCAUUACUGACGCUGAGGCUCGAAAGCGUGGGGAGCAAACAGGAUUAGAUACCCUGGUAGUCC
Molecule: ribosomal RNA, 425 nt
Filed under: uncultured bacterium
Lineage: Bacteria
Description: partial 16S ribosomal RNA
Rfam family: Bacterial small subunit ribosomal RNA
Source: RNAcentral